UGGGGAAUAUUGCACAAUGGGCGGAAGCCUGAUGCAGCGACGCCGCGUGAGGGAUGACGGCCUUCGGGUUGUAAACCUCUUUCAGCAGGGACGAAGCGUAAGUGACGGUACCUGCAGAAGAAGCGCCGGCCAACUACGUGCCAGCAGCCGCGGUAAUACGGGGGGGGCAAGCGUUGUUCGGAAUUACUGGGCGUAAAGGGCUCGUAGGCGGCCAACUAAGUCGGAUGUGAAAUCCCCAGGCUCAACCUGGGAACUGCAUCCGAUACUGGACGGCUUGAAUUCGGGAGAGGGAUGCAGAAUUCCAGGUGUAGCGGUGAAAUGCGUAGAUAUCUGGAGGAAUACCGGUGGCGAAGGCGGCAUCCUGGACCGACAUUGACGCUGAGGAGCGAAAGCUAGGGGAGCAAA
This 405-nucleotide ribosomal RNA is filed under the name uncultured bacterium. Its description in RNAcentral is "bacterial SSU rRNA". It matches the Rfam family "Bacterial small subunit ribosomal RNA", at positions 355 to 772 of the family's 1533-position model. The record is from RNAcentral.